Molecule: ribosomal RNA, 657 nt
Filed under: Scytodes sp. 2 YFL-2022a
Lineage: Eukaryota; Metazoa; Arthropoda; Arachnida; Araneae; Scytodidae
Description: SSU rRNA
Rfam family: Eukaryotic small subunit ribosomal RNA
Source: RNAcentral
GAUACCGCCCUAGUUCUAACCAUAAACGAUGCCAACUAGCGAUCCGCCUGGGUUCCUCAAAUGACUCGGCGGGCAGCUUCCGGGAAACCAAAGUGUUUGGGUUCCGGGGGAAGUAUGGUUGCAAAGCUGAAACUUAAAGGAAUUGACGGAAGGGCACCACAAGAAGUGGAGCCUGCGGCUUAAUUUGACUCAACACGGGAAAACUUACCCGGCCCGGACACUGGAAGGAUUGACAGAUUAAGAGCUCUUUCUUGAUUCAGUGGGUGGUGGUGCAUGGCCGUUCUUAGUUGGUGGAGCGAUUUGUCUGGUUAAUUCCGUUAACGAGCGAGACUCUUAUCUGCUAACUAAACGAUCCGAUCCCUUGCGUCGGACGUUUUCUUCUUAGAGGGAGAAGCGGCGUCUAGCCGCACGAGACAGAGCAAUAACAGGUCUGUGAUGCCCUUAGAUGUCCGGGGCCGCACGCGCGCUACACUGAAGGAAUCAGCGUGUGCUCUCCCUGUCCGGCAGGACUGGGUAACCCGUGGAACCUCCUUCGUGAUGGGGAUAGGGGCUUGUAAUUGUUCCCCUUGAACGAGGAAUUCCUAGUAAGCGCGAGUCAUAAGCUCGUGUUGAUUACGUCCCUGCCCUUUGUCCACACCGCCCGUCGCUACUACCGAU